Molecule: ribosomal RNA, 405 nt
Filed under: uncultured bacterium
Lineage: Bacteria
Description: bacterial SSU rRNA
Rfam family: Bacterial small subunit ribosomal RNA
Source: RNAcentral
CAGCAGCCGCGGUAAUACGGAGGAUGCGAGCGUUAUCCGGAUUCAUUGGGUUUAAAGGGUGCGUAGGCGGACUUAUAAGUCAGUGGUGAAAACCUGCAGCUUAACUGUAGAGGUGCCAUUGAUACUGUUAGUCUUGAGUGUGGUCAAGGUAGGCGGAAUGUGUAAUGUAGCGGUGAAAUGCUUAGAUAUUACACAGAACACCAAUUGCGAAGGCAGCUUACUGGGCCAUUACUGACGCUGAUGCACGAAAGCGUGGGGAGCGAACAGGAUUAGAUACCCUGGUAGUCCACGCCGUAAACGAUGAUCACUCGCUGUUGGCGAUACACAGUCAGCGGCUAAGCAAAAGCAUUAAGUGAUCCACCUGGGGAGUACGGCCGCAAGGCUGAAACUCAAAGGAAUUGACGG